Molecule: long non-coding RNA, 2753 nt
Organism: Phyllostomus discolor (pale spear-nosed bat)
Lineage: Eukaryota; Metazoa; Chordata; Mammalia; Chiroptera; Phyllostomidae
Exons: 2
Source: RefSeq, a predicted model, not a curated record
UGGGUUUGGUUGUUGGGAGUGCUGAAUAUAAAGUCAUCAUUUGCACCUCCUCAUUUCAAAUACAGUAUCAUUUCAAAUGCUUUUUUACCAUGUUCCUUGCCUGUCUCAGCAAUAGAAUGGGAAACUUCAGGGUCAGUGUGAACUAUUACCUGGUAGCCUCUCAUCUUGGCAGUCCAUAUAAUUCCCAAAAUAGGAAUAUUUCUACCACAGGUGACAUUCAUUUUCAUUUGCCUUUUGCAUGCAGUCCUUCAGUCUCCUUAACUUUAGGGUAGUAAACCUGCUAGAUCUCCAUCUUUGUCUUCACUACUUUGGUUAGUGAAGAUAGGUGUCUAAAUGCCUAGUAAUCAUUAAUGGCACCAGCCUGAGAGCUCUGAUCAUACUGUUUGUCUUUGUUUCUAGGCCUGUAAGUCAGUGAAGCGUCUUUCCCUAUUGUUUUGUAUUCUCAUUAUGGACUCAUUGAAUAGAGAUUGAGAAAGCAUAUGGUUUAUGGCAAGUGGGUUUUUUUCCUACCACAGUACCUUCCCUUUUUGUCAUAAUUAGAAAUGAGACAGAAAGUGGCAACAUGUGUUUAGAAAGACAUUGAUUACAUUCACUCUCUGGAUUAAGUUAGAAAUGCAUAUCAACUAUUUCAAAACAUUCUGAAUCACUUUAGUAUUCAAGCUUGGGUGACAGCAGAUUUGCCAAGUAGACUCCAUGUAUAUUAAAAAACUCAUCGAUUGCAUGUUGCUUUGAUUUAUAAUUAAACUAAACAGACACGAUCUUUUCCUUCUCAGAAAAAUGUGUUCUUAUCACAAAACACACUCAACUCUGCCCCUAGCUUGCACUUCUCCAGAUGUGUUCUUUCAAACGGUGAAUGUCCUAACCAGUGCCAUCCUCCUCCCUGGUCAGCUUUUAUGACAGCAUGGGGAUUAAAAAUAUAUGGACUUAAAAAUGACUAACUCAGAAAGAAGUAGCUAGCAACCUUGAAAACCUUAGGCAGCUAUACCUAAGCUAGAUCAUAUUAACUUUCCUUUUGGUGCAAACUUCUUUUAGUGGGGAGAGGUAAAAACUUCACUGCUUACAUUUGAUUUCUAGAGAAGUUGUUCUACCAGUUCUUAUGUGGUGUUCUUUUAAGCCAGAUAGUAAAGCAGCUAAUUCAAGCCUUACUACGUUUACCUGGUCUAAUUACAUUUGACUUUUCAGUUACCGACUAGAGUUCAAUAAGUAACAUUUCAUGAGAGGACUUGGAGGGCAGUAUAUUAUAGAAAUAGGGUUUUAUACUUUGUCAUUACAGGUUUAUUAUAAUUAAACAUAAAAUUAGAAGGUAAGUUGCCUUCCCAAAGAGCCAAAUUUAGUACUCGCUGCAUUUCCUGUCUCUUGUAGCAUCUUGGAUAACUGAAACACUAUGAAAAUGUAAGAAAUUAUCAUCCUGACCAUUCUUAUUAUUAUUCUAAUUGCCACACCCUCUCUUAUUUUUAGUGUAAGGAGGUGGGGAACCUUAUUUCCAUCCAAGACUGUGACACAGAGAAAUAUCCAAAAGGUGUUGCAAGUAAAGAUCAGCUUGGUAGGGGGAAGAAUAUUUUUGAAAGGAAAAACAAAAAUUAUUCCAGGAGAAAAACAAAUCUCUCCAAUUCCAGGGUAAGGAGUUCAGGAGUUAACAGCCAGUGCCUAGCUCUGCUAAAGCAGGCUUGCUUCCCCUACCACAGACACAGUCGUCCAUAAUCACAACAUUAGGAAUCCCUCCCCUUGCUUACCCUUAGGCACCCUGAAUCCUUGUUACAACUAUCACCAUUAUUCUCUCCACUAUUUACCAUUCAGAUCUUCCCAUCAGAGUUCACUGCCCAGUUUCUGUUUGAUGUGGGAGUGAUACCUCAAGGACUCAAGAGUGUAGACAUCUGCUUUUUUUCCCUUCUGUUCCCAAAAGUACAGUGGAUUAUAACAUCAGAGAAUGUUAGUAGGUGUAGUCAGGUUUAAUUAGAUUAUGCCAAGAAUCAUCUAGUCUAUGAGCUAGAGAGUCCAUCAAUCAUAUCUUCUAUAACUAUAAUUCAAGAGGAAUUGGCCAUCUUCCUAGCCUUGUCAUCCCCCAGCAUGCUAAGUAGUUUCCUUGGAUAACAGCAAUGGGCCUGAGUCACAUAAGAGAAUGAGAAAAUAUAAUGUUCAAAAGGGUAUGAGGGGUGAAGGAAAAAGGUUCCCCAAAGGAGGAAUAAGUGGUCAGGUGCCCAAUAACAAAUACCACAGGUUGCUAAACUCUCAUCUAACAUAAAAAGAAAUAUACAGUUGACCCUUGAACAACAUGGGCAUUAGAGGUACCAAGCCCCUGCUCAUUUGAAAAUCCAUGUAUAACUUACAGCUCCUCAAAAACUUUCCCACUAGUAGCCUACUCUUUACUAGAAGUCUUACUGAUAACCUGAACAGUCCAUUAAUACAUAUUUUGUGUUAUGUAUUAUAUAUUCUUAAAGUAAGGUAGAGAAAAAAAUGUUAAAGAAAUUAUAAGGAAAAUAGAUUUAUAGUACUGUACAUAUUUAUUUUAAAAAUUUACAUAUAAGUAGACCUGCACAGUUCAAACCAGUGUUGUUCAAGGGUCUGCUGUAAUAGUGUAAAAUUUCACCUCUUUCCUGAUACCUGCUUGAGAUGUUUACUUGUAGCAUGAAACGUUAUUUAUUCUUAAAUGCUUUCAGAGGCACCAGGAAGCAUUUUAACAAGUCAUCCUGUUCAUUAAGAUGAAUUCUGCAGUUAAACAUUUCCCCUUGUGCAUUCUUGUCCCCCCCACCCCC